Molecule: ribosomal RNA, 469 nt
Filed under: uncultured bacterium
Lineage: Bacteria
Description: partial 16S ribosomal RNA
Rfam family: Bacterial small subunit ribosomal RNA
Source: RNAcentral
GACGAACGCUGGCGGCGUGCUUAACACAUGCAAGUCGAACGGAAAGGCCCUGCUUUUGUGGGGUGCUCGAGUGGCAAACGGGAGAGUAACACGUGAGUAACCUGCCCUCGACUUUGGGAUAACUUCAGUAAACUGUGGCCAAUACCGGAUAGGGGCUCCUGCUGCCUGGUGGGGGCUGGAAAGUUUCGGAGGUUGUGGUUGGACUCGCGGUUUCUCAGCCUGUUAGUGGGGUAGUGGCUGACCAAGGCUUUGGCGGGUCGCCGGCCUGAGAGGGUGACCGGCCACCUUGGGUCGGAGAUACGGCCCAGACUGCUUCGGGCGGCAGGAGUGGGGAAUAUUGCACCAGGGGCGGGCGACUGACGGAGGAAGGCAGCGUGCGUGAUGAUGGCCUGCGGGUUGUACGCCGCUUUCGCCUGCGACGAAACGUGAGUGACGGGAAUGGGUAAAGAAGCACCGGGUAAAUACGGGC